AAGAAAAUAAAAAUAUCUCCAAUUUAAAUGAAAAUUGUCUAUCCGACGUUGUGAGCGAAGACCAUCUUUUAUUCAAAUUUGAAACAAAUAAUGAGUUAAAUAUUGACAAUAAAGUAAAUGAACAAGAAAGAGAAAUUGACGAAAAUAGUGACACAAAUCAGUUUCAGGAUCAAUCGGAAUUAUUAAAUGAGGACUUGAUUGAUUCAAAUGGGUCACAAGGUUCAAAAAAUAGUGAAAAAAUUGAAGAACUUUUUAUUUCAAAAGAACCAAAGUCAAAAA
This is a long non-coding RNA of Octopus sinensis (East Asian common octopus), 279 nucleotides long. RefSeq lists it as uncharacterized. Lineage: Eukaryota; Metazoa; Mollusca; Cephalopoda; Octopoda; Octopodidae. The record is from RefSeq and is a predicted model, not a curated record. The transcript is spliced from 4 exons.